UGCCAAGUCGAACGGCAGCACGACCUUCGGGUUGGUGGCGAGUGGCGCACGGGUGCGUAACGCGUAUAGAACUUACCCUUUACAGGGGGAUAGCCCGGAGAAAUCCGGAUUAAUACCCCGUAGUACUGAGAGGAGGCAUCUUUUUUCAGUUAAAGCUUCGGUGGUAAAGGAUGGCUAUGCGUCCUAUUAGCUAGUAGGUGAGGUAACGGCUCACCUAGGCUACGAUAGGUAGGGGCCCUGAGAGGGGGAUCCCCCACACUGGUACUGAGACACGGACCAGACUCCUACGGGAGGCAGCAGUGAGGAAUAUUGGACAAUGGUCGAAAGACUGAUCCAGCCAUGCCGCGUGCAGGAAGACGGCCCUAUGGGUUGUAAACUGCUUUUGUACGGGAAGAAUAAUGCCCACGUGUGGGCAGAUGACGGUACCGUACGAAUAAGGACCGGCUAACUCCGUGCCAGCAGCCGCGGUAAUACGGAGGGUCCGAGCGUUAUCCGGAAUCAUUGGGUUUAAAGGGUCCGCAGGCGGGCCAGUAAGUCAGGGGUGAAAGUUUGCGGCUCAACCGUAAAAUUGCCUUUGAUACUGCUGGUCUUGAGUUGCGGUGAAGUGGCCGGAAUAUGUGGUGUAGCGGUGAAAUGCAUAGAUAUCAC
Molecule: ribosomal RNA, 648 nt
Filed under: Robiginitalea biformata
Lineage: Bacteria; Pseudomonadati; Bacteroidota; Flavobacteriia; Flavobacteriales; Flavobacteriaceae
Description: bacterial SSU rRNA
Rfam family: Bacterial small subunit ribosomal RNA
Source: RNAcentral